GACGAACGCUGGCGGCGUGCUUAACACAUGCAAGUCGAACGGAAAGGCCCUGCUUUUGUGGGGUGCUCGAGUGGCGAACGGGUGAGUAACACGUGAGUAACCUGCCCUUGACUUUGGGAUAACUUCAGGAAACUGGGGCUAAUACCGGAUAGGAGCUCCUGCUGCAUGGUGGGGGUUGGAAAGUUUCGGCGGUUGGGGAUGGACUCGCGGCUUAUCAGCUUGUUGGUGGGGUAGUGGCUUACCAAGGCUUUGACGGGUAGCCGGCCUGAGAGGGUGACCGGCCACAUUGGGCUGGGGUAACGGCCCGAAUUCCUCCGGGGGGAAGCGUUGGGGAUUAUUGCACAAGGGGCGAAGGCCGGUGGCAGCACCGCGGCGGGGGGAAGGACGCCCUUCGGGUUGUAACCCGCUUUGGCCUGUGACGAAGCGUGGGUGACGGUAAUGGUAAAGGAAGCACCGGCUAACUACGU
This 467-nucleotide ribosomal RNA is filed under the name uncultured bacterium. RNAcentral describes it as "partial 16S ribosomal RNA". It matches the Rfam family "Bacterial small subunit ribosomal RNA", at positions 28 to 506 of the family's 1533-position model. The record is from RNAcentral.